Molecule: ribosomal RNA, 348 nt
Filed under: Triticum aestivum (bread wheat)
Lineage: Eukaryota; Viridiplantae; Streptophyta; Magnoliopsida; Poales; Poaceae
Description: partial small subunit ribosomal RNA
Source: RNAcentral
AUGCACACAUGCUCUUCGGUUCAUAUUCUCCAAAAAACCAAGCUAAAGGAUUAUAUUGAUGAGUGUUUCUCAGUGGCCAGGUUCAAAGCAGCAUAUGAGGGAAUUCUCGUGCCAAUUAGGGGCAGGUCCCAAUGGCUCAAGGUAAAUCCUGAAUUUGAUAUGAUCCCUCCCAAGCUUACCAAGAGUGUUGGACGUCCAAGAACUAGGAGGAUAAGGAAUUACACCGAAGGUGGAACCGGCAGAAAACGUAAAUGCAAAAGGUGUGGAACAUUAGGUCAUCUUCGGAAGACAUGGAAGGAGCUAGAGAUUGAAAGUGACACGAACCGAGAUGCUACUCCUCCACGAUAA